Pezoporus flaviventris is the source of this 4683-nucleotide long non-coding RNA. RefSeq lists it as uncharacterized. NCBI's taxonomy places the organism in Eukaryota, Metazoa, Chordata, Aves, Psittaciformes, Psittacidae. The transcript has 5 exons. The record is from RefSeq and is a predicted model, not a curated record.
UUUUUUUUUUUUUUAAUAUGGAUUAAGGAAUUCUCCACAUAAGGCUGUAAUGUUGAAUUAUAACAGAUGAUAAAUGUCACUUGCACAAAACUGCUAGAAUCUGUUUCCAGUAAGUUACUGACAAAAAUCCCUCUGAGCACUUUGUGGUCUCAGGCCUCAACAUCUAUCAGCUGUCUUGAGAUGAGGUUCUCUGCUCUACCUGUAAGUAGCAGGAAUCUCAGCCUCUGGAUGAUGGAGACUUGAAAUAACUCCAUACAUACUGAGUUACUCCGGAGGAAAUAUGUACUGAUGGCCUUUGAAUUACAGCAGCCCAGCUCCCCUUGCCAGAAGUACUGCCAGACUCUUCCAAUAGUUUGUAACAUAGGCCAGCUUCACCCUUGUGUAAAAUCUCUUGCAAGACUAUAGAAAAGCUCUCUGCAGGGCAUCUCUCCUUGCAGCAUGGGGAAAUUCAACUCUCACCCCACCAAGAACUGAGAUUUUAAGAUUUCUGCAAGCUGCUCCUGCACCUUUUUUUCAGACAUCAGAGGGAGCAUGAAAAGUUACUUGUUCUUUAAUACCUUAAUCUGUUUGGGAAAUGUGGGUGAUCUUGUAAUGGUUAAUUGCUACGAUGAUGUGGUGUUUUCUUCUGUUUCUUGCACUCCUGUGGAUGUACCAUACUCCAUCCCUGGGCACAGGGCAGGUAAGCAGAGCUACAGCCUGUUCUGACAGGAAACAGAAGAAUGUCAGUUUCAGAAUCUGUUCUUUCUCUCUCUUCCAGUGCUGAAACGUUAGCAUCAGUUACCACCACUAGCAGACUGCAGCAUACUCUGAAUGGAUAUUCUCACAAAAUGAACUUUAUGGUUCAGACUGUUGAGGAUACCAAUGUAUGGAGCUCCCCUGCAGACACCUCCUAACCCUCCUGGCUUCAGACCAGAUUGUUCAACUUCCACUCCAGGCUUGUCAUUCUGGUGAAGGAUUUGAGCAAUGACUUCUUUGACUUCAGAUUAAAAAGAGAAAAGGAGCAAUUUAAGGCUGCAAUCUAAUAGUGCAUUGUCUCUAAAGGAGAAUCCUUCUGCUAGUAGCUCCCCCUCAAACCUCUUGCAAGAAGGGCUCCUCUGCCUGCAAGAACCCUAGAGGUAUGAAGGUAGGUUUGUACACUUUUUACAUGGUGACAAAUACUGAUGCAGCUGUGAAAGACCAAGAGCCAUCUAUAAAAAAGGAUUUAGGGGCCUAAAUAGGACAUAGGGGGAAUAUACCCCUUGUUUAAGGGGUAAGCAGCAUAGCACAUAUGUCAUCCUCAAGUACAAUCAUAAUCCAGAAAGUGGCUGAGGGUUUUCAAGACUUUGCUAUCUAAGGUAGGGAUAUUGUAUCUCCUAAUCUGUUACUGAAGAGAUGAGGACUUCUAACUGAUGUGCUAAGGAUCUUCCUCUUACUGACUGUAUGAAGCGUCUACAUUAAACAGACUGAACAAUCUCUUAUAUCCUAAUUUGGGAGACUAAAACUGCCUUCCUCUAGUAUGCACCAUGCAUCAGAAAUGCCAGAUUCCUCUUUCUUAUAUCUAGGUGACUGUUCUCCAUCAUGCUGUUGUCAUUCAUCUUUUAUGCACCAGCCUACCGGGAUUUCCAUAUUCUCUGAUCCCUCUGAAAUAAGCCCAGUUUAGGGCUUUUAGGUAUGGUCUUAGAGGGCAUAUCUAGUCCUGAAUCCUAAAAAAGAUAUUUAUUCCAUGCAUACAGGUGUCUUUGUCCAAAAUGAGCUCAAUAGACUUAAUCUGAACUCCAGAUAAAUAUUAACUGUCAAUCACGUGAAUCCAUCAAAUAUUCCAUUCAAGGUUUGGUUUGUUGUUGUGCAUUUGUGUUUUAUUUUUUGUAAUGAUGAAAAAAAGAUAUAUUGUGCUCUGGACUAGUGUACCUGGUAAAAAUCCUUGAAUUACAGAAGUCCAGCUCCAAAUAUGUACAUAUAUAACUAUUCCCACUGUACGAGCAGGGUGCAGUAGCCUACAGUCACUGAUUUCUGCAAGUGCUUUUGUGUGAUGAAAGAUUGGAACUCCCUGAGCAGUUAUGGAAUCAACUAUUCUCAAGGUGGUGGUGCCUGGAGAGUGAAUAGUCCUAGGCUGAGGAAGACUGAGAACGAAGUGCUACACGUUCAUAUUUCUGCCACAUGCUGUGUUUCUAAUGUGUACUUGCUAGCUCUUUUUAUUCUGCUCAUCUUCAUAUAUUGUUCUGACUUGCAGGGCUUUAUGAUUGAAGAAUUAAAAAUCAUUUAUUUUAAACACCGCAAUGAUCAAAUUGCUGGUGUGCAUAAUUAUUUUGUUCCUAAUGAACAUUCUAGGCUGUGGCAAAAUUUCUGCUGAAUUAGAUAUUCAUCUUCUGGAUGCUGUUUCAGGCUCCAGAGCUUGCCUGCAGUAAGGCCUGGUGCGUAGCUACUGCUUCUUUCCUCAUGAGAGGGGACUAGCAGCAAGUGGCUCUAACAAAACUUCAUGUUACUCACCAUUCAGGCUUUUGAAGGCAGAACAGUAUGGUCAGCUUGCCAGCUUUGAUUGUGGAAGAGAUGAUAGAAAGUCCGUUGGUUCUGCAGGCAGACUAAGCUACUACAUCUACUAAGCUGUAAGUUAUUUAUAUGGACUCUCCUUCAGUUUCUAACACCUCCCUCUUAUUCUUAUCAGGGAAAUUAUUGGUUGUCUAAUUGUUCCAGAAUUAAAAGUGCAGCAAAAUUUGUCAUUCUUUAAGAUCUUCACUAUCUCCAUGCUAAUUUCUGUGUAAGAGGGACCUGAACUUAAGAAAAAGCUGAAGGAAGAAUAACCUGAAGAGGCUGUGGUUCCUUAUGAACACUGAUUUUGAAAACAAAGGCAUGCAAAGUGCUCUACACUGAGGCCUGCGCUUUUGUUAGCAGCAUGAUGGUGCCAUGGCUUGCACCAACCUCAGUAAAGCAUUAUAUAUACAAGCUUAUUCACCACAGUGGAAAAAGCACUGCAGGAGUGCAUGGUCUCUCUACCCCUUCCUGACCAAUUUCCAUGUGGUUCACCACACUUCCUUCACCAGGCAUACCAUAACCCCUUUUCAUCUGGUCAUGGAGCUUCCCACACAUCACAGCCUCCAGCCCCUCUUGCAGCAGCCACAUGCUAAAUGGAGCAACUACAUUUUCAGAGUCCUGACAGUGAAAUAUGCUUGCUUGAUGUUAGAAAUACACCUCCUACUUCACAGAAAUAAAAGCUGUAUGUCACAUCUAACGUGCCAGACUAUUUUGCUUUCAACAGUGCAGAAGUGGAGAAUGAUUUUGUUUAAAGCAGUCUCAGGCUGAGCCAUGUUUAACUGCUCUUUGGAAAUAGUGGGGGUCUAGAAAAGGGAGAUGAAGGAAUAAAAAAUUGUUAACUUUCAUUGGCCACCAGUUUAGCUGCAAACAGUACUAUAUAGGUUGCUUAGAGAACUGUUUGUUAGUUUCUUUUCUAACCUCCACUUUCUUUUUUCCUUUCUGUAACUGUUAAGGACUGCAUCCAGAGCUGUAUUCAGAACAACACAUGCAGCGGAGAAAGCAUUAAAAGUUUCAAAACAGGACUUUACACACUUUGCUACCCAUCAGAAAGCUUCCUUCCUCCUGUAGGGAAUGUCACACCAUCUGACUAAACCUGUUCCAAAUGAAAGAACCAGGCCAAAGCAGUAACCUAGACAACUCCAAUGUUACAGCAAACACUACUAUUUAGGUAUCUACUACUGAGAAGGGAAUAGUUACUCCUUUACCUGUUUUAAUUUCCUGUUGCCCUCUGAGCUUCUUUUAAGCAGGGCUGUCAUGCAGUUGGUGUUUGUCAGCUCCACCAAUAAGCAGAAAACUUGAGGCACUUACAGAUUUUCUUCUAGCUCCAUUUGCAAGCUUAGAGAAUGGGGUUGCAGGUAUUAUUUCUUCUUCCUUUUUUUCAUGUUGGACCUUUAUUCUGUUUGUUUGCUUUAGAUGCAUGUGGUUUUGCCAUGUAAUCUGGAACAUGCUCAGCUGAGCAAACUGCUCAGAACUUAGUGUUUGAUAUUUUUAUGCUUUUAAUCAAAAUAGUGCUGCUUGGUGUAUUUUCAAAUGUAACUAGGAUUUGGCUGCAUUUAUCUGGCUAAUUUUCAGAACAUUGAGAUAACAUGCAUCAGUACGGCAGGUUUACAUUCAGCUUUGCAAAUCAGGGAAAAAAAACUGUAAGAGGAAAUGACAGAUUAAGUACGGAUGAGUUGUAAAGAGUCUCUGAGAACAGAAGGUUUACAGAAUCACUGAUUGCACACAGUCACUAAAACUUGUGGUUAUGUGGGGAACUCACCAUAAGUCACCAUAACUUUCAGAAUCUUGCAAAUCCGUACUGAGGUCUAAACUGAAGAAGUUUUCAGUGUGCAUAGCUGAGAGUGAUACAUGAUCCUGAUAUAGGAUGGUUAUCAUUUUAGAUGUUAUCCAAAAACUAGAAGGAAAAACCACUUCCUAGCGUGGCUGGAACCACAAUUCAGUAUAGUGUUCAUACUGGUUCUGGUGACAGGAAUUCUGAAUUUACUUUUCCUUUAUGGUGUCAGAAGGAGUAACAUAAAAUUCUCUAUGUAUGUUUGAAAACAGUAUCAGUUUUAAGUUCAGCCCAGCUGUACCCUGAGGCUGAAACAUGGCCAUGUUUUGGCAGCAGGGAAAACUGCCAUAUGUUGCUGUGAUAAAGAAAUUACACCGAUGCCAGUCUCUGAAGUCAGACUUAUA